Salvia miltiorrhiza (redroot sage) is the source of this 806-nucleotide long non-coding RNA. RefSeq lists it as uncharacterized. The record is from RefSeq and is a predicted model, not a curated record. NCBI's taxonomy places the organism in Eukaryota, Viridiplantae, Streptophyta, Magnoliopsida, Lamiales, Lamiaceae. The transcript is spliced from 2 exons.
UCAAGCGGUGACAGAUCCAUCAUUUCCUCUCUCUACAGCCAACAAUAAUUCUCACCUUAUUCUCGCUAAUCUUGGUGAAAGAGCAGCUUCACCAGCAAUUUCUCGCCUAUCUAAAUCCACGGCAAAACCCUCUCGCCAAUCUAAAUUCACGAGCAAUUUCUCGUCAAUCGUGGCAUGGUUUCGCCGCGGGUCACCCACAGUAACACCGAUACACACGCACAGACGGGGAAGCCCUAUAUUUCUUCACAGAAUCGUGCCGCCAUCUAUGUAAUUUCCGGCGAGCAGCAACACCCAAAAGUCAUCACCGCCGAAUCGCUCUGUUCUCGGUUGACGUUGCCUCGUCAUUCGGUUGACGGCUCCGCCACGGGUCAGAGGUGCGACUCGGCUGGGAAGCCUAUCGCCGCAUUCCUCCGUCCUCUCGCUCAUUACCAAGUGUCGGCGAGGGGUUUUUCUAAUUCGAUGGGGAAGAAAGUAGACUCCGAUGAAAUAUCGGCAUGGCGUUGCUCUGCUCUGUGAUAGGGGGCGACAAGGCAAGGGUGGUUCAGCCCGAUUCAAGGCAGAAAAUGGGCAGAAAAUGACAUAAAUUAAGAAAGUAGAAUAUAAAAUGACAUGGAUUUAAAAAAAUAGAAUAUAAAUUACACUGUGGCAUCCGGCGAGCCACGUCACAUUUCUGGCGAUCGGAAAAUAAAUGCGGGAUAUAUUUGAUAAAACUCUGAUUCUUUGAGGGUUUAGAGAACAUUUUGAAACUUUCAGGGUAUUUUUGAUAAAGCGGGUAUAGUUCAAGGUUUAAUAUGAUAUUUACCCUA